UAGGGAAUCUUCCGCAAUGGACGAAAGUCUGACGGAGCAACGCCGCGUGAGUGAUGAAGGUUUUCGGAUCGUAAAACUCUGUUGUUAGGGAAGAACAAGUACCGUUCGAAUAGGGCGGUACCUUGACGGUACCUAACCAGAAAGCCACGGCUAACUACGUGCCAGCAGCCGCGGUAAUACGUAGGUGGCAAGCGUUGUCCGGAAUUAUUGGGCGUAAAGCGCGCGCAGGCGGUUUCUUAAGUCUGAUGUGAAAGCCCCCGGCUCAACCGGGGAGGGUCAUUGGAAACUGGGGAACUUGAGUGCAGAAGAGGAGAGUGGAAUUCCACGUGUAGCGGUGAAAUGCGUAGAGAUGUGGAGGAACACCAGUGGCGAAGGCGACUCUCUGGUCUGUAACUGACGCUGAGGCGCGAAAGCGUGGGGAGCGAACAG
Molecule: ribosomal RNA, 429 nt
Filed under: uncultured bacterium
Lineage: Bacteria
Description: bacterial SSU rRNA
Rfam family: Bacterial small subunit ribosomal RNA
Source: RNAcentral